AGUUGCCAGCGGUUCGGCCGGGCACUCUAACGGGACUGCCCGCGAAAAGCGGGAGGAAGGAGGGGACGACGUCUGGUCAGCAUGGCCCUUACGGCCUGGGCGACACACGUGCUACAAUGCCCACUACAAAGCGAGGCCACCCGGCAACGGGGAGCUAAUCGCAAAAAGGUGGGCCCAGUUCGGAUUGGGGUCUGCAACCCGACCCCAUGAAGCCGGAAUCGCUAGUAAUCGCGGAUCAGCCAUGCCGCGGUGAAUACGUUCCCGGGCCUU
Molecule: ribosomal RNA, 270 nt
Filed under: uncultured Thermus sp.
Lineage: Bacteria; Thermotogati; Deinococcota; Deinococci; Thermales; Thermaceae
Description: partial 16S ribosomal RNA
Rfam family: Bacterial small subunit ribosomal RNA
Source: RNAcentral